AGUGAACGCUGGCGGUAGGCCUAACACAUGCAAGUCGAACGGCAGCACAGUAAGAGCUUGCUCUUACGGGUGGCGAGUGGCGGACGGGUGAGGAAUACAUCGGAAUCUACUUUUUCGUGGGGGAUAACGUAGGGAAACUUACGCUAAUACCGCAUACGACAUACGGGUGAAAGCAGGGGAUCUUCGGACCUUGCGCGAUUGAAUGAGCCGAUGUCGGAUUAGCUAGUUGGCGGGGUAAAGGCCCACCAAGGCGACGAUCCGUAGCUGGUCUGAGAGGGUGAUCAGCCACACUGGAACUGAGACACGGUCCAGACUCCUACGGGAGGCAGCAGUGGGGAAUAUUGGACAAUGGGCGCAAGCCUGAUCCAGCCAUACCGCGUGGGUGAAGAAGGCCUUCGGGUUGUAAAGCCCUUUUGUUGGGAAAGAAAAGCAGCAGGUUAAUACCCCGCUGUUCUGACGGUACCCAAAGAAUAAGCACCGGCUAACUUCGUG
This 492-nucleotide ribosomal RNA is filed under the name uncultured bacterium. RNAcentral's name for it is "partial 16S ribosomal RNA". It matches the Rfam family "Bacterial small subunit ribosomal RNA", at positions 29 to 507 of the family's 1533-position model. The record is from RNAcentral.